RNAcentral lists this ribosomal RNA (253 nucleotides) under uncultured bacterium. Its description in RNAcentral is "partial 16S ribosomal RNA". It matches the Rfam family "Bacterial small subunit ribosomal RNA", at positions 524 to 776 of the family's 1533-position model. The record is from RNAcentral.
UACGUAGGGUGCAAGCGUUAAUCGGAAUUACUGGGCGUAAAGCGUGCGCAGGCGGUUGUGCAAGACCGAUGUGAAAUCCCCGGGCUUAACCUGGGAAUGGCAUUGGUGACUGCACGGCUAGAGUGUGUCAGAGGGGGGUAGAAUCCCACGUGUAGCAGUGAAAUGCGUAGAGAUGUGGAGGAAUACCGAUGGCGAAGGCAGCCCCCUGGGAUAACACUGACGCUCAUGCACGAAAGCGUGGGGAGCAAACAGG